This 459-nucleotide ribosomal RNA is filed under the name uncultured bacterium. RNAcentral's name for it is "partial 16S ribosomal RNA". It matches the Rfam family "Bacterial small subunit ribosomal RNA", at positions 338 to 795 of the family's 1533-position model. The record is from RNAcentral.
CCUACGGGUGGCAGCAGUGAGGAAUAUUGGUCAAUGGUCGGGAGACUGAACCAGCCAAGCCGCGUGAGGGAGGAAGGUACAGAGUAUCGUAAACCUCUUUUGUCAGGGAACAAAGACUGGGACGCGUCCCCGGAUGAGUGUACCUGAAGAAAAAGCAUCGGUUAACAGCGUGCCAGCAGCCGCGGUAAUACGGAGGAUGCGAGCGUUGUCCGGAUUUAUUGGGGUAAAGGGGUGCGCCGGCGGUCUGUUAAGUCAGCGGUAAAAGCCCGGGGCUCAACCCCGGACCGCCGUUGAAACUGGGAGACUCGAGUUGGAGAGGAGUAUGCGGAAUGCGCGGUGUAGCAGUGAAAUGCAUAGAUAUCGCGCAGAACUCCGGUGGCGAAGGCGGCAUGCCGGCUCCACACUGACGCUGAGGCACGAAGGCGUGGGUAUCGAACAGGAUUAGAUACCCUUGUAGUC